CACCACUGAGAGAGGUGGAUGCAUCGAGUCUAAAGAGCAAUUUUCUAAGUCACUGCUUGAAAGAGUCAUUGCAUCAAACGGACAUUGUUAUUAGUCUGGUGCCUCACGGAGUGAGAUGGAAGCCUAUAUAGUGUAAAGAGUAAAGAGCAAGAUUCUUCAAUUAUGGAACUUGAAAAAUCUUUCUGAGUUUCAAAAGAAAAUACAACUCAAUUAUUUGAAUAUGAAGAAAAGUUUUAUUAAAGAUAACUAAGAUGUGCUAGCCAACAAAUGCAUCGAGGGCACACACAAGACUUCUAUAUAAAAAAUAGACUGUUGUUUGAGACUGUAUUCCAUUGCCAUACCUACUUUAAGCUCGUAUGUAUGUGCACUGAUUACUAAUAUGUGAUCCCAAACAAAUGCAUUGGGCAGCACAUACACAUGUCUUUUAUAUCAAAUACGACUGUUGUUUGAAACUAUACCAAAAUGUCAUACACACUGUAAAAGGAUUAUAUGCGGAAGUUUGACAUGGGUCGACCCGUGAGGAACUAACUAUUUAUGUAAUUUGAAUAACUGCAAACGGAUUCUUCUCUUUAUUAAUGAAUUGAAUCAUAGCUCAGAAAACUAAAAUACAAUUGUUAUUUGUAUUUUAACACCCUGCAAUGCAAUCCUGUAUUUGAUGUACUGGUAUGAUAAGUUUAAAAUGAUUCUUUCAUUCUACGUUAUUCUUAUAUUUUUAUUACUGUUAUUGAACAUGACUGAUUAAUUACUGAUAUUGUAUAUUUUUUAAUAGGCUUUUUUCGUAAUAUGCUGUUUCCAUAUUUAGCUAUCUUAUUUGUCAUGUUCAUUAUAUUCUAUUGUAGUUUUGGAGAAAUUUUCAACAGGAAAACAAGAUAUCGUGACAACGACAAAGGAAGAAAAGUAUUAACAGAGCUUGUCAUCUAUAGUGUUCAUUUUGACUUUAGUCGAUAUAAUAUUUUUCUGAAUAUAUUAAUACUGAUACAAUAAUGCACGAAGUAUUAUGUUUAUUGCUGAUAUUCAAUAUUUAUUAAUAAAGUUUUUUU
Non-coding RNA from Styela clava, 1040 nucleotides. Lineage: Eukaryota; Metazoa; Chordata; Ascidiacea; Stolidobranchia; Styelidae. The record is from RefSeq and is a predicted model, not a curated record.